RNAcentral lists this ribosomal RNA (492 nucleotides) under uncultured bacterium. Its description in RNAcentral is "partial 16S ribosomal RNA". It matches the Rfam family "Bacterial small subunit ribosomal RNA", at positions 29 to 507 of the family's 1533-position model. The record is from RNAcentral.
AGUGAACGCUGGCGAUAGGCCUAACACAUGCAAGUCGAACGGCAGCACAGUAAGAGCUUGCUCUUACGGGUGGCGAGUGGCGGACGGGUGAGGAAUACAUCGGAAUCUACUUUUUCGUGGGGGAUAACGUAGGGAAACUUACGCUAAUACCGCAUACGACCUACGGGUGAAAGCAGGGGAUCUUCGGACCUUGCGCGAUUGAAUGAGCCGAUGUCGGAUUAGCUAGUUGGCGGGGUAAAGGCCCACCAAGGCGACGAUCCGUAGCUGGUCUGAGAGGAUGAUCAGCCACACUGGAACUGAGACACGGUCCAGACUCCUACGGGAGGCAGCAGUGGGGAAUAUUGGACAAAGGGCGCAAGCCUGAUCCAGCCAUACCGCGUGGGUGAAGAAGGCCUUCGGGUUGUAAAGCCCUUUUGUUGGCAAAGAAAAGCAGCAGGUUAAUACCCCGCUGUUCUGACGGUACCCAAAGAAUAAGCACCGGCUAACUUCGUG